Molecule: ribosomal RNA, 425 nt
Filed under: uncultured bacterium
Lineage: Bacteria
Description: partial 16S ribosomal RNA
Rfam family: Bacterial small subunit ribosomal RNA
Source: RNAcentral
GAAUAUUGGACAAUGGGGGGAACCCUGAUCCAGCCAUGCCGCGUGUGUGAAGAAGGCCUUUUGGUUGUAAAGCACUUUAAGCGAGGAGGAGGCUACUUAGAUUACUACUCUAGGAUAGUGGACGUUACUCGCAGAAUAAGCACCGGCUCACUCUGUGCCCACCGACGCGGUAAUACAGAGGGUGCAAGCGUUAAUCGGAUUUACUGGGCGUAAAGCGUGCGUAGGUGGACAAUUAAGUCAAAUGUGAAAUCCCCAGGCUUAACUUGGAAAUUGCAUUCGAUACUGGUUGGCUAGAGUAUGGGAGAGGAUGGUAGAAUUCCAGGUGUAGCGGUGAAAUGCGUAGAGAUCUGGAGGAAUACCGAUGGCGAAGGCAGCCAUCUGGCCUAAGACUGACACUGAGGUGCGAAAGCAUGGGGAGCAAACAG